AUGGGAACGCGAAGAACCUUACCUACUCUUGACAUCCAGAGAACUUUCCAGAGAUGGAUUGGUGCCUUCGGGAACGUCUGAGACAGGUGCUGCAUGGCUGUCGUCAGCUCGUGUUGUGAAUGUUGGGUUAAGUCCCGCAACGAGCGCAACCCGUUAUCCUUUGUUGCCAGCGGUUAGGCCGGGAACUCAAAGGAGACUGCCAGUGAUAAACUGGAGGAAGGUGGGGAUGACGUCAAGUCAUCAUGGCCCUUACGAGUAGGGCUACACACGUGCUACAAUGGCGCAUACAAAGAGAAGCGACCUCGCGAGAGCAAGCGGACCUCAUAAAGUGCGUCGUAGUCCGGAUUGGAGUCUGCAACUCGACUCCAUGAAGUCGGAAUCGCUAGUAAUCGUAGAUCAGAAUGCUACGGUGAAUACGUU
RNAcentral lists this ribosomal RNA (420 nucleotides) under uncultured bacterium. RNAcentral's name for it is "bacterial SSU rRNA". It matches the Rfam family "Bacterial small subunit ribosomal RNA", at positions 954 to 1372 of the family's 1533-position model. The record is from RNAcentral.